AGAAUAGAGGCGCAAAAACCAUUAGUACCUAGUUAGAGGACGAUGCUCCAGUGACGACUAGCGGAAAGGGGAAUUUGCCGAAGUAAUAUAGACAGACAUCUGAUUAUAUUGCUGGUCUUGCAUUGAAUAAAUGCCGGGCUGUCAUAUAGUUUCUUAACUAUAUGGAGGGCUAUCU
Molecule: non-coding RNA, 175 nt
Filed under: Gracilibacillus phocaeensis
Lineage: Bacteria; Bacillati; Bacillota; Bacilli; Caryophanales; Bacillaceae
Description: Lysine riboswitch
Rfam family: Lysine riboswitch aptamer
About the family: Riboswitches are metabolite binding domains within certain messenger RNAs that serve as precision sensors for their corresponding targets. Allosteric rearrangement of mRNA structure is mediated by ligand binding, and this results in modulation of gene expression. This family includes riboswitches that sense lysine in a number of genes involved in lysine metabolism, including lysC.
Source: RNAcentral